CAGCAGUAGGGAAUCUUCACAAUGGGCGCAAGCCUGAUGGAGCAACACCGCGUGAGUGAAGAAGGGUUUCGGCUCGUAAAGCUCUGUUGUUAAGGAAGAACACGUAUGAGAGUAACUGUUCAUACGUUGACGGUAUUUAACCAGAAAGUCACGGCUAACUACGUGCCAGCAGCCGCGGUAAUACGUAGGUGGCAAGCGUUAUCCGGAUUUAUUGGGCGUAAAGAGAGUGCAGGCGGUUUUCUAAGUCUGAUGUGAAAGCCUUCGGCUUAACCGGAGAAGUGCAUCGGAAACUGGAUAACUUGAGUGCAGAAGAGGGUAGUGGAACUCCAUGUGUAGCGGUGGAAUGCGUAGAUAUAUGGAAGAACACCAGUGGCGAAGGCGGCUACCUGGUCUGCAACUGACGCUGAGACUCGAAAGCAUGGGUAGCGAACAGGAUUAGAUACCCUGGUAG
Molecule: ribosomal RNA, 451 nt
Filed under: uncultured bacterium
Lineage: Bacteria
Description: bacterial SSU rRNA
Rfam family: Bacterial small subunit ribosomal RNA
Source: RNAcentral